This 399-nucleotide ribosomal RNA is filed under the name uncultured bacterium. Its description in RNAcentral is "partial 16S ribosomal RNA". It matches the Rfam family "Bacterial small subunit ribosomal RNA", at positions 360 to 776 of the family's 1533-position model. The record is from RNAcentral.
AAUAUUGCACAAUGUGCGAAAGCCUGCUGCAGCAACGUCGCGUGAGUGUUUAAGGCCCNCGGGUCNUNAAGCUCUUUGAUCAGGGNUAUUAUUGACAGUACCUGAAAAACAAGACACCGCUAACCACGUGCCAGCAGCCGCGGUAAUACGUAGGUGGCGAGCGUUGUCCGGAAUUACUGGGCGUAAAGGAUGCGUAGGUGGAUACUUAAGUUGGUUGUGAAAGCCCGCGGCUCAAACCGGGAACUGCAUUCCAAUCUGGGUAUCUAGAGUGAAGGAGAGGAAAGCGGAAUUCCUAGUGUAGCAGUGAAAUGCGUAGAUAUUAGGAGGAACACCAAUGGCAAAGGCGGCUUUCUGGACUGUAACUGACACUGAGGCAUGAAAGCGUGGGUAACAAACAGG